This is a long non-coding RNA of Vidua chalybeata, 1906 nucleotides long. RefSeq lists it as uncharacterized. The transcript is spliced from 5 exons. Lineage: Eukaryota; Metazoa; Chordata; Aves; Passeriformes; Viduidae. The record is from RefSeq and is a predicted model, not a curated record.
GGAGGAAGAGGAAGGGCCGGGCCGGGAGAGCCGGGAUGUGCCCGCGGCGCUCGGCCGCCGUCACGGGGCAGCGCUGAGCCGGGCUGUGAUUCAGAGGGCCCGGUAGCCGUCGCGGAGGAGCGCUAACGGCUUCUGUCCUCGCGGCUUCGGCCCUCGGCGCUCCCCGGUUGUGCCUGCCUCAGCCCUCACGGCCGCAGUGUUCUCGGCCUCAGCGCUCGUGCCCUCCUGCCUGGCAGCGCCGGGGAAAUUGGGCCGUGUGUGCCUCAAAUGAAGCAGUUUUUAAGAGAAUGAAGGGACUCAGGAAUCUUAGGGAUCCUGUCAAGGGUAGGGGGAUGGAGCCACGCGUGUGCCAUGGAGGGGACACAGGACUGCGCGGUGGGGAAGUGACAGCCCUUCCGGGCUCCCGGUAAACAAGGCCUGGCUGCAGGGAAGUGUCUCAGGUUGGGGUGACUUUAGGAGUUUAAUAAAAGUAUUUGCUCCCAGUGACCAGGAAAUUCCAGUAUGAUGGAUACAGCACCUGUUCUCCCCAAGGAGCAAAGGGGUCAGGGUUAGACUAGAUCAUUUUAAUGGAAAUAAAUAUUUUUCCUUGGGAUGCGUCCUGUCAGGGCUCCUCAAAUCGGUGUCACUUUCAGCAAGGAGUUGCUAAAACACAUCAAGUGAAUUGUAUUUUAUCUAAAGUACCUGACUUGGUGUUAGAACUCCAGUGUAAAAAACACUGUCAUUGUGGAAUAGCAAAGGACAACCUCUCCUCAUGCCUGGAAUACCGACAGCUGAAUCACUAAAUGCCAAAUCCAGCUGUGGAUGGAACACCCAGGAAAAGGGGUGACUUUGUGUCCCUGUGUGCUCUGGGCUCUGCCAGCAGAAGGACUGGGAGAAUGAUACCAGUGUCAGGUCCAUCCCCAGCAUCUCUGAAUUCCAGCUUUGUACUUCAAAGUGCCUGGAACCCCCAAGUUUUAUAGCAGCAAAAUUACUACUGAGUGUAAGUGACCAGAGUUUUGCAUUUUUGGCUUCUCCUGGGCACAAAGCAUCUGACUGCAGCUGGGAAUUCAUCACCUCUCUCCCUGGACAUGCAAAUUUUACUGGAACUCCCUCAGCAAAGAAACCAGAAAAAGUGGAUUAAAAGGAAUGAGGUUAUGGAGCAUGAAAAAAUACUCCAAAACAACUGUGGAGGAGGGAAGAGGAGUUUCUGCUCUGACCCUGGAGAUGAAAGAAUAAAGGACCCUUGGUGGAUGGUGACACUCAACCCCUGAAGAGACACCACUGUCAGUGACAAACACAACAAGAGAGCCCUGAGAAAACACUGCUUCACCAUCAGCAAGGAAUCUGCUGGGACAAUCCCUCAGCAGCUGGUGGAGCCUGCAGCUGGACCUAGCAAAAGGCAGCUGAGGUAAGGAGCUGCCACAGCAAGGACCUGUGAGAAGAAGCUGCAGAUAAGAGACAAGACUGAGUCUACUUUGCAAAUCUCUUGUUGAAUUGUUCUGAGCCAAAGAAUUGUUUUAAAGAAUUGUGUAGAACUCAAAACCAGAUUUCUGGCCCAGCACCAACCCGUGCUGAGCAGCAGAGGAACUCAGCAGUCCAGAGGGGACGUGCAAAGUCAGCUCAGGGCUGGAGGGUGGUGAUGUCCCUGGGCUCCACUGUUCCCCAAAUCUUGGGCAUUGCUGGGAGCAGGACCAGGGCCAGCAGACAGCACCUGUGGAAGGGCUCCAGCACAGGGCAGGGAGGAACUGGAAGGAGAAGGCCAUUCCUGCAGGCUCUCCCUGGGAGCUGCCCUGGGCAGGUACCACAGCUGCACUGCCCUCACAGUGUGGCAGUGACCCCCCCACCCUCUGGAGCACAGCAGAGCUCCUGCAGCUGUGCUCCAGCACAUCUGGCUCUGUUCCCAGCUUUAGUGGAGCUAAAGUACCUC